UACAGAGGGUGCAAGCGUUGUUCGGAAUUAUUGAGCGUAAAGGGCGCGUAGGCGGUUCGGCAAGUCUCUAGUGAAAUCCCGGGGCUCAACCUCGGAACUGCCUUUGAUACUGGCUAUCUUGAGUAUGGGAGAGGUGUGUGGAACUCCGAGUGUAGAGGUGAAAUUCGUAGAUAUUCGGAAGAACACCAGUGGCGAAGGCGACACACUGGCCCAUUACUGACGCUGAGGCUCGAAAGCGUGGGGAGCAAACAGG
This 253-nucleotide ribosomal RNA is filed under the name uncultured bacterium. RNAcentral's name for it is "partial 16S ribosomal RNA". It matches the Rfam family "Bacterial small subunit ribosomal RNA", at positions 524 to 776 of the family's 1533-position model. The record is from RNAcentral.